Molecule: ribosomal RNA, 490 nt
Filed under: uncultured bacterium
Lineage: Bacteria
Description: partial 16S ribosomal RNA
Rfam family: Bacterial small subunit ribosomal RNA
Source: RNAcentral
AUUGAACGCUGGCGGCAGGCCUAACACAUGCAAGUCGAACGGUAACAGAAAGCAGCUUGCUGCUUUGCUGACGAGUGGCGGACGGGUGAGUAAUGUCUGGGAAACUGCCUGAUGGAGGGGGAUAACUACUGGAAACGGUAGCUAAUACCGCAUAACGUCGCAAGACCAAAGAGGGGGACCUUCGGGCCUCUUGCCAUCGGAUGUGCCCAGAUGGGAUUAGCUAGUAGGUGGGGUAAAGGCUCACCUAGGCGACGAUCCCUAGCUGGUCUGAGAGGAUGACCAGCCACACUGGAACUGAGACACGGUCCAGACUCCUACGGGAGGCAGCAGUGGGGAAUAUUGCAUAAUGGGCGCAAGCCUGAUGCAGCCAUGCCGCGUGUAUGAAGAAGGCCUUCGGGUUGUAAAGUACUUUCAGCGGGGAGGAAGGGAGUAAAGUUAAUACCUUUGCUCAUUGACGUUACCCGCAGAAGAAGCACCGGCUAACUCCGUG